GGUGAACGCUGGCGGCGUGCCUAAUACAUGCAAGUCGAGCGAACGGACGAGAAGCUUGCUUCUCUGAUGUUAGCGGCGGACGGGUGAGUAACACGUGGAUAACCUACCUAUAAGACUGGGAUAACUUCGGGAAACCGGAGCUAAUACCGGAUAAUAUUUUGAACCGCAUGGUUCAAAAGUGAAAGACGGUCUUGCUGUCACUUAUAGAUGGAUCCGCGCUGCAUUAGCUAGUUGGUAAGGUAACGGCUUACCAAGGCAACGAUGCAUAGCCGACCUGGGAGGGUGAUCGGCCACACUGGAACUGAGACACGGUCCAGACUCCUACGGGAGGCAGCAGUAGGGAAUCUUCCGCAAUGGGCGAAAGCCUGACGGAGCAACGCCGCGUGAGUGAUGAAGGUCUUCGGAUCGUAAAACUCUGUUAUUAGGGAAGAACAUAUGUGUAAGUAACUGUGCACAUCUUGACGGUACCUAAUCAGAAAGCCACGGCUAACUACGU
RNAcentral lists this ribosomal RNA (496 nucleotides) under uncultured bacterium. RNAcentral describes it as "partial 16S ribosomal RNA". It matches the Rfam family "Bacterial small subunit ribosomal RNA", at positions 28 to 506 of the family's 1533-position model. The record is from RNAcentral.